UCCAAGCCCCCUCCCCCUCCUUAGCCCCGCCCGCCCUGCAGCAGCCCGGCCCGCCGCCGCCGCCGCCGCCGCCGCCGACCUUUGAGCGCAGCUCCGCCCUGCCCGCCAGCCUGGCCCGGCUCUGCUCGGCGCCUCCGUUGCCCACAGCCGCUACCCAGGUGGGCUGAGCGGGAGGGCAGGCCGCGAGAAGGGGUGGUGGUGCUGCUAGCCUGAUGUGGAGUGCAGGGCAGAUGGGAGGGGGCUUCCCCACCCCCACCCGGAGUCUUCUCUCGGAACGCCCAAGUCCACAGCUCCAGAUGUGGCCCAGCUGCUCGCCUUUAGAGACCGUUUCCCAAGGCCCAGACUAUCUCCGCUCCCUGUGGGGGUCUCCAACCCUCCUGCGCCCGCCACUCGGCCCAGGCCGGCCCGGGGAGGUCUCAGGGCCAGUGCAAGAAGUUUGGAGCAGGAUGGACCUGAGGCCAAUGACUCCUUCCUCCAUCAAAAGGGCAAACUGGAAUCUUCGCCUUCCCCAAGAAGGGGCUUCGGGCCACUCAAAGAAGAAAUGACUUUUUUUCCUGUUUUUUUUUAAACCCUGUAAAAUCUGUGAGUCACUGUGUUUCUCUGGGUCUAUAUGCGUCUCUUGGGUGUGUUAGAGUAUCUCUGAGUGCCUAUAUUGUAUGCAGUUGUGUUUUUGUGUGCCUGGAUUUCUCUGUAUGUAUGCCUGUGUGCCUUUGUGUCUUUGAGUGGUUGCGUGUACCUCUGUAUUAUGUCUUAGUACAACUCUUAAGACACAAGAGUGGUAAUGGCUAGGCAGAUGGGGUUAAAUGACUUGCACAGGGUCACACAGAUAGGAAGUGUCCAAGGCGAGAUUUGAACCUAGGACCUCUCAACUCCAAGCCUGAUGCUCUAUCCACUAUGUCACCUCUCUACCCCCAAGAAUUGCCUUUUUUUUUAACCCUUACCUUACAAUACUGUGUAUUGGUUCCAAGGCAGAAGAGUGGUAAGGGCUAGGCAAUGGGGGUCAAGUGACCUACCCAGGGUCACACAGCUGGGAAGUGUCUGAGGCCAGAUUUGAACCCAGGACCUCCCAUCUCUAGGCCUGGCUCUCAAUCCACUGAGUCACCCAGCUGCUCCCUACGAAUUGACUUCUUCACGAGCUUCAUGUUUCCAUAGAAACAUAGAAGAAGCUCCUAAAACUCAUUAAGCAAGGGGCUAAUGUGGGGGGGGGGAAUCAGAGGAGAGAACUGAGUGAAGGGCACAUUGGAAUCAUCAUCAUAAUAGCUAACAUUUCUAUUUGUUAUUGUUCAAUCAUUUCAGUCAGGUCCAACUCUUCCAUACCCCAUUUAGGGUUUCCUUUUUCUUUUUGAAAUCCUUACCUUCCAUCUUAAAACCAAAGGUAGAUAAGGGCUAGGCAAAAGGAGUUAAAUGACUCUCCCAGGGUCACACAACUAGGGAAGUAUCUGAGGCCAGAUUUGAACCCAGGACCUCCCAUCUCCAAGCCUGGCUCUCAAUCCACUGAGCCACCCAGCCACUCCCUAAGAAUUGACUUCUUCAAGGGCCUCAUGU
RNAcentral lists this long non-coding RNA (1545 nucleotides) under Monodelphis domestica (gray short-tailed opossum). Its description in RNAcentral is "lncRNA (ENSMODG00000040382.1)". Lineage: Eukaryota; Metazoa; Chordata; Mammalia; Didelphimorphia; Didelphidae. The record is from RNAcentral.